This 74-nucleotide transfer RNA is filed under the name Flavobacteriales bacterium. Its description in RNAcentral is "tRNA-Asn". It matches the Rfam family "tRNA". From Rfam's summary of the family: Transfer RNA (tRNA) molecules are approximately 80 nucleotides in length. Their secondary structure includes four short double-helical elements and three loops (D, anti-codon, and T loops). The record is from RNAcentral. Lineage: Bacteria; Pseudomonadati; Bacteroidota; Flavobacteriia; Flavobacteriales.
UCCUCAGUAGCUCAGCUGGUUAGAGCAUCUGACUGUUAAUCAGAGGGUCGCUGGUUCAAGUCCAGCCUGAGGAG